UACAGAGGUGGCAAGCGUUGUUCGGAAUUACUGGGCGUAAAGGGCGAGUAGGUGGCCAUCUAAGUCAGACGUGAAAUCCCCCGGCUUAACCUGGGAACUGCGUCUGAUACUGGACGGCUAGAGUAUGGGAGAGGGAUGUAGAAUUCCAGGUGUAGCGGUGAAAUGCGUAGAUAUCGGGAGGAACACCUGAGGCGAAGGCGGGCUACUGGGCCGAUACUGACGCUGAUGCGCGAAAGCCAGGGGAGCGAACGGG
RNAcentral lists this ribosomal RNA (253 nucleotides) under uncultured bacterium. RNAcentral describes it as "partial 16S ribosomal RNA". It matches the Rfam family "Bacterial small subunit ribosomal RNA", at positions 524 to 776 of the family's 1533-position model. The record is from RNAcentral.